UGUAAAUCCAAACAGCAACGCUCCUGAGUUUGUGUCCCACGUCACCUUCAGUCCGCUCAGAGCAGAGGAAUCAUUUCCAUAGAGAGGAGGCUUUGCAUCGUCAGCUGAUCCUCCACUGAACUGAGAAGCUUUAUAGUCCUGUGACUCCAACUCUGCAGGACUCAGACCCGUCAGUCGACCACAACCACCAUGACUCUCAUCACCCUCCUCAUCUGGACGCUGGCCUGCUGCAGCUUCACAGGAUGCAGCGGCCAGAUGACUGUGACUCAGCCUCCAGUCGUGACAUUUACUCCAGGAUCCACUGUCACUCUGACCUGUAAAACCAACCCCAGUGUUUAUAUUCAUAAUUCUAAAGAUUGUCUGUCCUGGUACCAACAGAAACCUGGACAGGCUCCCAAGCUUCUUAUAUACUUCGCAUCAACUCUUAAUUCAGGAACUCCCUCUCGAUUCAGUGGCAGUGGCUCUGGUUCUAGCUUCACCUUAACCAUCAGAGGUGUUCAGGCUGAAGAUGUUGGAGAUUAUUACUGUUUAGGUUUACACAGCAGUGGAGUGUCAACACAGUGAUUUAGAGCCGUACAA
Molecule: non-coding RNA, 579 nt
Organism: Pleuronectes platessa (European plaice)
Lineage: Eukaryota; Metazoa; Chordata; Actinopteri; Pleuronectiformes; Pleuronectidae
Source: the annotation of a RefSeq genome assembly